RNAcentral lists this long non-coding RNA (2119 nucleotides) under Sorghum bicolor (sorghum). RNAcentral's name for it is "long non-coding RNA (SBIC_LNC009404)". The record is from RNAcentral. Lineage: Eukaryota; Viridiplantae; Streptophyta; Magnoliopsida; Poales; Poaceae.
GACGUAGCGUGCCGGCAAGCACGUGAACCUCGGGAGAAAAAUUGGUGUCUCAAUUGUGUUUGAUUGGCAUUCUCCCGGUGCUUGAUUGUUUAUAUUGGUGAUUGGUUCAUCCCCUACAUGGCGGUAUAAUUAUCUCAUCCACUCUUUUACAUUCCCGCAAACUAGAGUAGCUUACUUACUUGUAUAGAAACUUUAGGUAGCUUUCUAGUGUAAGUAGUGACAUAGCUCUUGUGUGCCUAGUGAUCAUAUCAACUAGAAUUGUGGGAUAGGUGGCUUGCAAACACCCCUUUAGAGCUAGAGCAAAAAGCUUCGCUUUGUUAUUUACUAACCUAUUGCUCUAGUGAGUUUGUAGAUUUUUAAAUAGGCUAUUCACCCCCUUCUAACCAUAUUAGGACCUUUCAGUCAGCAACUAGAAAAAAAUAAAUAUCAAAUACCAAAAAACUUGACAUCGAGAGACCAUAACCCUAAAGCAUUCGAUCUACUAGAAAAACUAUUAAAGCGAUAGAUCGCCACUCUACUCGGCCUCUGGCGAUAUGAGAACGGGGAUCAGCGGUGGUGGAGGCGGUGGCGGCUCUCGCUAGGGUAAAACACAGAAUGAAAUUAAGCACUGUGUAUCUCUUGCAUACUAAGUACAUAUUCUGAUAGUUUUAGCCCUUGAGAGAAAAUAAACACUAACGUUUUGUUUACAUGGUUUUUCAAAGCAAUGGAAAUAGGACCAUUUUCUAACUUUUAACUAUGAAUUUAAAUAUUUCAAUCAAGUCAAGCGCCCAUGUAUGGGGGGUGUAAAUGUGGUAGUUUUGCACCUGUAAAUUUUUCCAUGCCUUUCAGGAGAUGACGGGACAGCCUCGAGGGAUCCUAGCGGAGGAUCGUGCCAUUAUCAUAUAGAUUAUAAAAAGAAGAAAAAAAGAUAAAUAUACUAUUUUAAAAUAUAUACACGAAGAAAAAAAGAAAGAUAAUAACUAAGCCUUGACAUUAAUUCUCACAAGAUGCACUAGAAAAAAAUAAAUGCUAGAAAAUUAUCACAUGAAUCAGAAGCUAGCAUCUAACCAUUGAAUCUAUAGGAUCUGGCAAUCUAAAAGCAUUAGAUCUAUUUUAUUUUCUAAAGAAUUACCCACCUCUACAAUUAUUAUAGGUAAAAGAAAGAAAAAAAAAGAUAAAUCCAUUAUUUUAAAAUAUAUAAGUACCAAGAAAGAAAUAAAAUAAUUAAUACACUAUCAAUGAAUACAUUAUUUUUUCAUGCCUUCCAACCGAUGACGGGAUAGCCUCGAGGGAUAAGAUCGUGCCAUUAUUAUAGAUAAUAAAAAUAAAGAAAAAAGAUAAAUUCAUUAUUUUAAAUAUACGUACCAAAUACGUCUGUGGCCUGGCCUCUAACAAAAUAGCCUAAAAUCUAGGUAUCAAGAAAAUCUACCAACUACUCUCUCUAUCCCAAAUUAAGUGUUGUUUUUGGUUUUCAUGUCCUAAAUUUGACUCGAUUUGUAGAAAAUAUGUGUAAUAUUUGUAUCUCCAAAUAAAUUUAUUAAAAAACUAAAUUUAAAAAUCUUCCUAAUGAUACUAAUUAUAUAACAUAAAUAUUAAUAUUUUUUAAUAUAUAUUUAAUUAAAUUAUUUCUCAAGAAGUGACAACACAAUAAGAUGGCAAUCUAGCAAGCAUGGGAGCGAAUGCAUAUUGAGGUGAAGUCGCGGCGUCCGGCCGAACAAUAUGUCGAGUCAGCUCUUAGCGCUUUUGCAAGUUGUCACAAAAAAAAGAGAGUUUUGUAUUGCCAAUGAAAAUGAAUAUGGAUCUAAAAAAAUAUAUAAUCAAUCAAUAAUAAUAAUUUGAAUAAUAUAAAAAAUAUUGUGUUCGUUGGUCUGAAAAAUUAUGGCUAAAAUUAGUGUUGACUAAUUUAGUGCGAAAGAAAAACACUGUUGGCUAAAAAAAUAUACAGCUAAUAAAACAAAUGAACGGGCUCUCAUGACCACUGAUGUUGGCUACGGACCUUGUUUAGUUCUAAUUUUUUUUGAAAAAUCGACAUUAUAACAUUUUUGUUUGUAUUUAACAAAUAUUGUCAAAUUAUAGACUAACUAGCCUCAAAAGAUUCAUCUCGUCAAUUCUAAUUAAACCGUGUAAUUAGUUUUUAUUU